AACGGUCGGCAGGCGAUCCGCCUCGGUCUCGCGGGUGGUAUGGUUCCCCAGAGGCCGGUUCUUGUGCUGCCUACCCCUUCAGGGGAAGCUGGCCGCUCGAUGUAAGCCUCCAUCCGGCGCCUUCCAACGGGCGCAGGAGGACAACGGAGCACCCCCCGCGUUCCACCGAUCCACNNGGGNNAGGACUCACGUCCCAGUCCCGAAAUGAAGCUUCGGUAUAGUGCUGACGGCCGCUCCCGCCCCCCGACCGCCCCGGCGGCGCGGGGGCGAGGGGCGGCGUCGCGGAGGAAUGCUACCU
RNAcentral lists this unclassified non-coding RNA (298 nucleotides) under Acacia omalophylla. RNAcentral describes it as "partial external transcribed spacer". Lineage: Eukaryota; Viridiplantae; Streptophyta; Magnoliopsida; Fabales; Fabaceae. The record is from RNAcentral.